CGAGAAAGAUCCAAGGACUGCUAACCCUUGACCCCAUGUUUAAACACACAUGGCUUUCUUA
RNAcentral lists this transfer RNA (61 nucleotides) under Gymnobelideus leadbeateri (Leadbeater's possum). Its description in RNAcentral is "tRNA-Ser". Lineage: Eukaryota; Metazoa; Chordata; Mammalia; Diprotodontia; Petauridae. The record is from RNAcentral.